This 464-nucleotide ribosomal RNA is filed under the name uncultured bacterium. RNAcentral describes it as "bacterial SSU rRNA". It matches the Rfam family "Bacterial small subunit ribosomal RNA", at positions 338 to 795 of the family's 1533-position model. The record is from RNAcentral.
CCUACGGGUUGCAGCAGUGGGGAAUAUUGCACAAUGGGCGCAAGCCUGAUGCAGCCAUGCCGCGUGUAUGAAGAAGGCCUUCGGGUUGUAAAGUACUUUCAGCGGGGAGGAAGGUGUUGUGGUUAAUAACCGCAGCAAUUGACGUACCCGCAGAAGAAGCACCGGCUAACUCCGUGCCAGCAGCCGCGGUAAUACGGAGGGUGCAAGCGUUAAUCGGAAUUACUGGGCGUAAAGCGCACGCAGGCGGUCUGUCAAGUCGGAUGUGAAAUCCCCGGGCUCAACCUGGGAACUGCAUUCGAAACUGGCAGGCUAGAGUCUUGUAGAGGGGGGUAGAAUUCCAGGUGUAUCGGUGAAAUGCGUAGAGAUCUGGAGGAAUACCGGUGGCGAAGGCGGCCCCCUGGACAAGGACUGACGCUCAGGUGCGAAAGCGUGGGGAGCAAACAGGAUUAGAUACCCCAGUAGUC